This 1488-nucleotide long non-coding RNA is filed under the name Equus asinus (donkey). RNAcentral's name for it is "lncRNA (ENSEASG00005034867.1)". The record is from RNAcentral. Lineage: Eukaryota; Metazoa; Chordata; Mammalia; Perissodactyla; Equidae.
GGGCGGGCCGAGGGGUAGGGGCGAAGCUGGAGCGAGUUCCAAGAGACCCUGAGACCAAGCAGCCGGGAAGGCUGCUGCCCCUGUCCUCUGCCUGCCGCCUCUCCUGCUCUUUCCUUCACUGUAAAGGGAUACAGAUGCUUGGCUUUGAGAGUUGUGUUAGAGAAACUUAAGUCAAUUUUUUGUAAACUUGUUCCUUUCUCGAGGAUUUCCCUCCUGGCAGGAUUUCAACUUUCUCUCAUGGGGCAGUGUAAUUAGGGGUGAUUUCCUUGCUCUUCAGAGGGGAGAAUGAACUGGAGUAAAUUUGGUUUCUCUUCUCUUUCAUUCUUCCGCGUAAACAGAGAUUAGGCUUUACCUGUGCUGGGGCAUAGAGGAGGGUUUCCCAGGCGUGGCACUGUUGAUAUUUGGGGCCAGAUAAUUUUCUGUUGCAGGGUCGGGGGGUGGGCUGUCCUGUGCACUGUAGGAUGUUUAGCAACAUCCCUGGCCUCAACCCAGGUAAAGUGUGGAAGUGUAGAUGCCUGUGGUACCUCCCAGUCAUGCCAACCAGAAAUGUCUCCAGAUAUUGCCAGAUGUCCCCUGGGGAGCAGAGUCGCCUCCGUCGAGGCUUCGAGGAAGCAUGUGGAAAAGAUGCGCACCUGUUGGGAGGGAUGGAAACCAGGGUGCCAUGCAUGCUUCCUUUAGCCUGAGGAAGGACCAGGCAGCCACCAGCUUCUGGGACCAGGUCCUCCUCUGGCUGGACCUGCCCAGAGCCAUGGCCGUUUUCUCCGGCUGCUCCCCUGCUUCCUCUCGGCCCUGACUGCGUCUCUCUUGCCUCUGCAGUGUCUCUGCCUCUCACCUGGGAGCCGCUUCUCCUCGGUUUGCUCCUUACAGCCAGGACAGAAGGGGGAAGGCCGGAAGUAGACAGCACCGCGGCCAGCCGCCCUGCUGCUCCCUGGAAGGGGGGGAGGAGGGACAGGUCACUGCCACCGCUGCUGCUUCUGUCAGCCUCAGGAACUCUGCCCUUAUUUCUGCUUUAUGGUGAGCAGCCUUCCUUCCAGCUUGUACCCUGAUAACAUGUUCCCUCUUGGCCUUCAUCCUUACAAUCAGGCCUCUCCUGAUCCUGGGGAAGGAGUCUGAGGGUUGAGUCCUGUUUGGUCCAUCAGCCCAUGGGGGCGCAGCUGGACUUGCCUGCCCGGGUCCUUCAGGAACACCCCCUGCCUCCCUUGUGCUGGGUUUCUUCCCAAACUGAACCCCUGGAUUCUAGCUGCCAAGCAGCCAGCCCUGAGUAUUUUCAAGAGGGAAGUAAUUUUGCUUCCAGAUUAGUUUCUAACCCUUCUCUCCAUAACUCACCUUUUCUCUCUCUAGAAUAUUUGUGGUGCCAGGGAGUUUUUUUGCUUGUUUGCUUGUUUUCGUUUCAUCGUUGUCCUGAACACCCGUGCAUACCUGAACCAGCCUCUUACCAGAUACUGUGCCACACGGCGAGCGAGCUGGGCCUAGUGAGGUGCCUGCGUG